RNAcentral lists this non-coding RNA (791 nucleotides) under Streptocephalus cafer. The record is from RNAcentral. Lineage: Eukaryota; Metazoa; Arthropoda; Branchiopoda; Anostraca; Streptocephalidae.
UGUUAUUUUGUCUAUUACUAUGUUUUUAUUUUCUAAGAAAACAUUAAUUAAUAAUUUUGUUAAUCAUUCUUUUUUUACCUUAUUAAAGUUUGAUUCUGACUUUAAAGUUUAUUAUUUCCAAAAAUUAUAUGCUAGCUUUUAUUAUUUAGAUUUAAGAGCAGUAAUUAAUAUUAGUAAUUAAUUUAUUAGAUCUAAUUAUGGAAAAUAUAAGGGGUUAAUCUUGUGCCAGCAUCCGCGGUCAUACAAGACUUUUGAAUAAAUUCUUUAAGAAAAUUUCCUAUUCUUUAUUAAUUAUCUUUUAUAUGUUAAAGGUGGAAUUUGUAUGUUAAUGUUAUAAUUUUAAUAGGUUGGAUUAUAGUAAUUAAAAAACUGGGAUUAGAUACCCCAUUAUUUUACUUAUUAUUCUUGGGUAGUAAUAUUUAAACCUAAAGAAUUUGGCGGUUCUUAAACUUACUAGAGGAACCUGUCCUGUAAUCGAUAGUCCACGAUUUUAUUUACCUAUUCUUGUAAUCAGCUUAUAUACCGCCGUUUAGUGAACUAAAUGAAUAGUUUCUCUAAAUUAAUUAGUUAAAGAAAUCAGGUCAAGGUGUAGUUUAUGAAUAGGUAGAGAUGGGUUACAAUAAUAAUUUACACGGAUAUUUGGCUUUAUAGUUGAAUUGAAGGUGGAUUUAGAAGUAAAUUCAAAUAUUUUGAAGAAAGCUCUUGAGAAUGUACACAUCGCCCGUCGCUCUCUUGUCUGAAGAGAUAAGUCGUAACAAAGUAGAUAAACCGGAAGGUUUAUCUUGAAAGCU